AGACCCGAAACCCGGUGAUCUAGCCAUGGGCAGGUUGAAGGUUGGGUAACACUAACUGGAGGACCGAACCGACUAAUGUUGAAAAAUUAGCGGAUGACCUGUGGCUGGGGGUGAAAGGCCAAUCAAACCGGGAGAUAGCUGGUUCUCCCCGAAAGCUAUUUAGGUAGCGCCUCGUGAAUUCAUCUCCGGGGGUAGAGCACUGUUUCGGCUAGGGGGCCAUCCCGGCUUACCAACCCGAUGCAAACUGCGAAUACCGGAGAAUGUUAUCACGGGAGACACACGGCGGGUGCUAACGUCCGUCGUGAAGAGGGAAACAACCCAGACCGCCAGCUAAGGUCCCAAAGUCAUGGUUAAGUGGGAAACGAUGUGGGAAGGCCCAGACAGCCAGGAUGUUGGCUUAGAAGCAGCCAUCAUUUAAAGAAAGCGUAAUAGCUCACUGGUCGAGUCGGCCUGCGCGGAAGAUGUAACGGGGCUAAACCAUGCACCGAAGCUGCGGCAGCGACACUCAGGUGUUGUUGGGUAGGGGAGCGUUCUGUAAGCCUGUGAAGGUGGCC
Molecule: ribosomal RNA, 554 nt
Filed under: Salmonella enterica
Lineage: Bacteria; Pseudomonadati; Pseudomonadota; Gammaproteobacteria; Enterobacterales; Enterobacteriaceae
Also listed under: 3 other names
Description: partial 23S ribosomal RNA
Rfam family: Bacterial large subunit ribosomal RNA
Source: RNAcentral